Solenopsis invicta (red fire ant) is the source of this 120-nucleotide non-coding RNA. The record is from Rfam. NCBI's taxonomy places the organism in Eukaryota, Metazoa, Arthropoda, Insecta, Hymenoptera, Formicidae.
CACUCAGGUUUCUUUUAGACGAAUAAAUCUUUCGCUUUUUACUAAAGAUUUCCGUGUAUGAGUAAGUAAUAUGAAGUUAAUGUUAAUCAAGGUUUAUUUAUAGGUUAUGUUUGUACCGUA